UGUGAGUGCCGCGCUGUAGGCUGUGGGAUGGUCGGGAGAGUGCAAGGUGUUGCUGUUAGGUGUGGUUGGGUUUACAGAAAGGGGAAGAGCAUGCAUAGAUAGAAUGGUGGAGUGAAAAAAAAAAAGAGGGAGAGAUGGAAGGAUUGGUCAUGCGCAAGACCGCAGGCCGUUGGAGGCAGCUUAGAAAUCUCUUACAUCUGGAACAGCCAUAAUUCGUGGGAUUUGGCCUGACAGCCAUGACAGGCACUGGGGCGGCCAGCAACAACUGUCUCCUGUGUUAGCAGCAGUGUGUACGUUAGCUCCGUGAGAGAGAGAAAGAGAGAUGGAGAAGGAGAGACAAAGAGUGUCAAUAUCCAGAAGCUGUGUGUAUACAUUAAAACUUUCUGUUUAUGCAGGGAGAUCACGGAGAUUAAACUCACCUGAACAUGGUAUGUAGCCUGAGCUGAAAUGGAUGAAAAUAUUUACUGUGUACACACCAUCCACAAAUCCUUUGCCACUCUUGAUCCCUGGCUUUCACUUUUUCCCCUCCUCUCUUGCUUCUUGCUCCUAUUUUUGAACACCUGC
Archocentrus centrarchus (flier cichlid) is the source of this 564-nucleotide long non-coding RNA. RefSeq lists it as uncharacterized. The transcript is spliced from 3 exons. The record is from RefSeq and is a predicted model, not a curated record. Lineage: Eukaryota; Metazoa; Chordata; Actinopteri; Cichliformes; Cichlidae.